GAUGAACGCUGGCGGCGUGCCUAAUACAUGCAAGUCGAGCGAACAGACGAGUAGCUUGCUCCUCUGACGUUAGCGGCGGACGGGUGAGUAACACGUGGAUAACCUACCUAUAAGACUGGGAUAACUUCGGGAAACCGGAGCUAAUACCGGAUAAUAUAUUGAACCGCAUGGUUCAAUAGUGAAAGACGGUUUUGCUGUCACUUAUAGAUGGAUCCGCGCCGCAUUAGCUAGUUGGUAAGGUAACGGCUUACCAAGGCAACGAUGCGUAGCCGACCUGAGAGGGUGAUCGGCCACACUGGAGCGGAGACACGGUCAAGACUCCUACGGGAGGCAGCAGUAGGGAAUCGUACGCAAUGGGCGAAAGCCUGACGGAGCAACGCCGCGUGAGUGAUGAAGGUCUUCGGAUCGUAAAACUCUGUUAUUAGGGAAGAACAAAUGUGUAAGUAACUAUGCACGUCUUGACGGUACCUAAUCAGAAAGCAACGGCUAACUACGUG
This 497-nucleotide ribosomal RNA is filed under the name uncultured bacterium. Its description in RNAcentral is "partial 16S ribosomal RNA". It matches the Rfam family "Bacterial small subunit ribosomal RNA", at positions 28 to 507 of the family's 1533-position model. The record is from RNAcentral.